AACGAACGCUGGCGGCAUGCCUAACACAUGCAAGUCGAACGAGACCUUCGGUUCUAGUGGCGCACGGGUGCGUAACGCGUGGGAACCUGCCCUUAGGUUCGGAAUAACUCCCCGAAAGGGGUGCUAAUACCGGUUAAUGUCUUCGGACCAAAGAUUUAUCGCCUUUGGAUGGGCCCGCGUUGGAUUAGCUAGUUGGUAGGGUAAAAGCCUACCAAGGCGACGAUCCAUAGCUGGUCUGAGAGGAUGAUCAGCCACACUGGGACUGAGACACGGCCCAGACUCCUACGGGAGGCAGCAGUGGGGAAUAUUGGACAAUGGGCGAAAGCCUGAUCCAGCAAUGCCGCGUGAGUGAUGAAGGCCUUAGGGUUGUAAAGCUCUUUUACCCGGGAUGAUAAUGACAGUACCGGGAGAAUAAGCUCCGGCUAACUCCGUG
This 433-nucleotide ribosomal RNA is filed under the name uncultured bacterium. Its description in RNAcentral is "partial 16S ribosomal RNA". It matches the Rfam family "Bacterial small subunit ribosomal RNA", at positions 29 to 507 of the family's 1533-position model. The record is from RNAcentral.